UACAGAGGGUGCGAGCGUUAAUCGGAAUUACUGGGCGUAAAGCGCGCGUAGGCGGCUUUGCAAGUCGGGUGUGAAAUCCCCAGGCUUAACCUGGGAACUGCAUUCGAGACUGCAUUGCUAGAGUAUGGGAGAGGGAAGUGGAAUUUCCGGUGUAGCGGUGAAAUGCGUAGAUAUCAGGAGGAAUACCGGUGGCGAAGGCGGCCUUCUGGACGGUGACUGACGCUGAGACGCGAAAGCGUGGGGAGCAAACAGG
This 253-nucleotide ribosomal RNA is filed under the name uncultured bacterium. Its description in RNAcentral is "partial 16S ribosomal RNA". It matches the Rfam family "Bacterial small subunit ribosomal RNA", at positions 524 to 776 of the family's 1533-position model. The record is from RNAcentral.